RNAcentral lists this ribosomal RNA (254 nucleotides) under uncultured bacterium. Its description in RNAcentral is "partial 16S ribosomal RNA". It matches the Rfam family "Bacterial small subunit ribosomal RNA", at positions 524 to 776 of the family's 1533-position model. The record is from RNAcentral.
GACAGAGGUGCCGAGCGUUAGGCGGAAUCACUGGGCUUAAAGCGUGUGUAGGCGGGUCGUUAAGUACCUUGUGAAAUCCCCCCGGCUCAACCGGGGAACGGCUGGGUAUACUGGCGAUCUUGAGCCACCUAGGGGCAGUCGGAACAAGUGGUGGAGCGGUGAAAUGCGUAGAUAUCACUUGGAACGCCAAUGGUGAAAACAGACUGCUGGGGGUGUGCUGACGCUGAGACACGAAAGCCAGGGGAGCAAACGGG